Long non-coding RNA from Lutra lutra (Eurasian river otter), 679 nucleotides. RefSeq lists it as uncharacterized. Lineage: Eukaryota; Metazoa; Chordata; Mammalia; Carnivora; Mustelidae. The record is from RefSeq and is a predicted model, not a curated record. The transcript has 6 exons.
AAAGGAGGCACUCAUUAUCAUGACUAUCACACUCCUUCAUGAAGCAACAAUAGAUCUCCUUCUAGAAACAUCAUUUUCAAAAGGAGCAGGUACCCAGCUGUAAACAUCAUGAAGGAUGUGACGGGAGGGCGGCUUCCCUCCUUUAGGAGCUGUAUAUACAUUAAUCACUGAAUCACCAAGCCAUGCUUAAUUGCAAGCUGUAUAUCACACAAAUCCAUGGAAUGCAGAAAAGGUAUUACACCACUAAUUACAGCCCACACUGCUACCUCCAACUCUGCUGCCUGAAAGAAAAGAACGGAACAGUCUAGAUCUGAUGCCAUCCCAGGCUUCUGCCUCGUUGCCACUAAAUGGUGGAGCUGAUAUCCGAAGCCCUGAGACCCAUUUCUGUACUUACUAGUCAGGUAAAGCCAGGUACCAUAUACCUGAAGCUAAUGACUCACUUUCUAAGGUAUAUGCCCAUUACUCCAGCUUCUCAAGGGAUCUCCUCAAAAGAACAAUGACCAUCUCCAGUAAGAAUAAAUAAGAGUCAAACUCCUAUAGUUAUUUCCGGCUUUAAAACAAGCAAGACACACCUCCCGUCUUGAUUAGUCACAGAGCUGCUGCUGGACAGAGAGACGGACAGUGUGACCUCGACUCUCAUCGACUCAACAGCCAGCCCUCGGGUACCAGACACACAGGC